UGUAGCAAGGUUAACCGAAUAGGGGAGCCGAAGGGAAACCGAGUCUUAACUGGGCGUUAAGUUGCAGGGUAUAGACCCGAAACCCGGUGAUCUAGCCAUGGGCAGGUUGAAGGUUGGGUAACACUAACUGGAGGACCGAACCGACUAAUGUUGAAAAAUUAGCGGAUGACUUGUGGCUGGGGGUGAAAGGCCAAUCAAACCGGGAGAUAGCUGGUUCUCCCCGAAAGCUAUUUAGGUAGCGCCUCGUGAAUUCAUCUCCGGGGGUAGAGCACUGUUUCGGCAAGGGGGUCAUCCCGACUUACCAACCCGAUGCAAACUGCGAAUACCGGAGAAUGUUAUCACGGGAGACACACGGCGGGUGCUAACGUCCGUCGUGAAGAGGGAAACAACCCAGACCGCCAGCUAAGGUCCCAAAGUCAUGGUUAAGUGGGAAACGAUGUGGGAAGGCCCAGACAGCCAGGAUGUUGGCUUAGAAGCAGCCAUCAUUUAAAGAAAGCGUAAUAGCUCACUGGUCGAGUCGGCCUGCGCGGAAGAUGUAACGGGGCUAAACCAUGCACCGAAGCUGCGGCAGCGACGCUGAUGCGUUGUUGGGUAGGGGAGCGUUCUGUAAGCCUGUGAAGGUGUGCUGUGAGGCAUGCUGGAGGUAUCAGAAGUGCGAAUGCUGACAUAAGUAACGAUAAAGCGGGUGAAAAGCCCGCUCGCCGGAAGACCAAGGGUUCCUGUCCAACGUUAAUCGGGGCAGGGUGAGUCGACCCCUAAGGCGAGGCCGAAAGGCGUAGUCGAUGGGAAACAGGUUAAUAUUCCUGUACUUGGUGUUACUGCGAAGGGGGGACGGAGAAGGCUAUGUUGGCCGGGCGACGGUUGUCCCGGUUUAAGCGUGUAGGCUGGUUUUCCAGGCAAAUCCGGAAAAUCAAGGCUGAGGCGUGAUGACGAGGCACUACGGUGCUGAAGCAACAAAUGCCCUGCUUCCAGGAAAAGCCUCUAAGCAUCAGGUAACAUCAAAUCGUACCCCAAACCGACACAGGUGGUCAGGUAGAGAAUACCAAGGCGCUUGAGAGAACUCGGGUGAAGGAACUAGGCAAAAUGGUGCCGUAACUUCGGGAGAAGGCACGCUGAUAUGUAGGUGAAGCGACUUGCUCGUGGAGCUGAAAUCAGUCGAAGAUACCAGCUGGCUGCAACUGUUUAUUAAAAACACAGCACUGUGCAAACACGAAAGUGGACGUAUACGGUGUGACGCCUGCCCGGUGCCGGAAGGUUAAUUGAUGGGGUCAGCGCAAGCGAAGCUCUUGAUCGAAGCCCCGGUAAACGGCGGCCGUAACUAUAACGGUCCUAAGGUAGCGAAAUUCCUUGUCGGGUAAGUUCCGACCUGCACGAAUGGCGUAAUGAUGGCCAGGCUGUCUCCACCCGAGACUCAGUGAAAUUGAACUCGCUGUGAAGAUGCAGUGUACCCGCGGCAAGACGGAAAGACCCCGUGAACCUUUACUAUAGCUUGACACUGAACAUUGAGCCUUGAUGUGUAGGAUAGGUGGGAGGCUUUGAAGUGUGG
Molecule: ribosomal RNA, 1546 nt
Filed under: Escherichia coli
Lineage: Bacteria; Pseudomonadati; Pseudomonadota; Gammaproteobacteria; Enterobacterales; Enterobacteriaceae
Description: partial 23S ribosomal RNA
Rfam family: Bacterial large subunit ribosomal RNA
Source: RNAcentral